CAGUGACUUCAGGCAGUUUAAAAUAGUCUCAGGGGUUACGAGAGGCUUCUCAGGCACAGAAUGCAGUUUCAGCACAUCAAUCAUCCCUUUCUGCUGUUUCUGCAAGAGAUGGAAUAUCUUGAUUUGAAAACAUCUUUCUAACACAAAGCAGUUUCAGUGCUCUUGUAUUUUGAGAAGACUUUACAAGGAAUGACCUGAAAAGUGGAAGAAUCUUAGAAAGAUUGCCUUUACUGUAAAGCAUGAUGUGGUACCUCUGCAGUCCAAUGAAGUGUCUG
This 275-nucleotide long non-coding RNA is filed under the name Numida meleagris (helmeted guineafowl). RNAcentral's name for it is "lncRNA (ENSNMEG00000022251.1)". Lineage: Eukaryota; Metazoa; Chordata; Aves; Galliformes; Numididae. The record is from RNAcentral.